RNAcentral lists this ribosomal RNA (397 nucleotides) under uncultured bacterium. Its description in RNAcentral is "partial 16S ribosomal RNA". It matches the Rfam family "Bacterial small subunit ribosomal RNA", at positions 523 to 918 of the family's 1533-position model. The record is from RNAcentral.
AUACGUAGGGGGCGAGCGUUGUCCGGAAUGAUUGGGCGUAAAGGGCGCGUAGGCGGCCCGGUAAGUCUGGAGUGAAAGUCCUGUUUUUAAGAUGGGAAUUGCUUUGGAUACUGUCGGGCUUGAGUGCAGGAGAGGUAAGUGGAAUUCCCAGUGUAGCGGUGAAAUGCGUAGAGAUUGGGAGGAACACCAGUGGCGAAGGCGACUUACUGGACUGUAACUGACGCUGAGGCGCGAAAGUGUGGGGAGCAAACAGGAUUAGAUACCCUGGUAGUCCACACUGUAAACGAUGAAUGCUAGGUGUAGGGGGUAUCGAUCCCUUCUGUGCCGCAGUCAACACAAUAAGCAUUCCGCCUGGGGAGUACGGCCGCAAGGUUGAAACUCAAAUGAAUUGACGGGG